CAGCUGUGAGAAGCAGUUGGCUGAGGGUAAAGCCCUGAAGAGAUGCCCAGGGGAGUGGCUGGCCCAAGGCACUGCUCAGUGUCUGCUCUGUCAGACCUGCAUCUCCUCCCUGGUUCCCCCAGAUCUGCCACUCCAUCAACCACAAGGCCAAGACAGAGUGCACUCCUGCCACUGGGUGAUGACAAUCCAUGCUCAAGGCUCAAGGAAAAAGUAGAAGAGACUAAGAAAAAUUACUAAGGGAAAGACCUGUGAAUUAAAAAAUUCUCCAAAGGCACAGAAGACUUAAUAUGGCAGGAUAGGAUAAGACUUUGGUGAAACCCAGUUUGGAGGUCAAAGCUUUUCAUUCCUACUUGAAAUAAGGUUGGAGAUUGAACUUCAGGCUUUGGCUUGCUACGCAAGCACCCAAUACUGAGCUACACCCCAGCCCCUUAAAAUCUUGAGCCCCAACAGUAAUCUACUGACGUCAGGCUUGGGUAUACACCAUCCAUGGAUGCAAAGCUGGCCUCAGGGGAGACAUCUCUCAGCUACUAGUUUUGUACCAGAUGGUUGACUGAGUCCCACAAGUCUUGGCCAAAUCUAUCUGGAUACAGACUUGCGGUGGCUUAAAAUACACAACGCUGAAAGUUCCAAAGCCCUGCAACGUUGCAGAAUGCUCUACCUGCCAGCCUCCCGUGCCUGGCCAGGAGCGGGAAGGAGCUGUGGGAGCUUAUCUAGGCUCAAUAUAAUGAACAUUUUAAUGACUACAGAAGGUAACACACAGGGAAAAAGAAUCGAGAAAUGAUACAAACAAAUGCCAGUAUCCUACUUCCUUUCUUUUUGUUUUUCUUUGAGAUGGGAUCUUGAAUGUUGCCUAGGCUGGCCUCAAAGUCCUGGGAUCAAGUGAUCCUCCUGCCUCAACCUCCCAAGAAGCUAGUAUUACAGGCAUGUGCUACUGCACCCCACUGAUUUUCUAUUAAACAUUAUAAAAAUUAAACUGAGGGCCGGAGAUUUAGCUCAGUGGUUCUGCCACCUGCCUCACAAGCGCAAGGACCCAAGUUCGAUCCCGGUACCAAAAAAAAAAAAAAAAAAUUAAACUGAAACUGACAAUUCACAGCACUUCAGUACAUAGAAUAUGUAUUAAAAAGAUGAUCAACUAUUUGG
Molecule: long non-coding RNA, 1140 nt
Filed under: Heterocephalus glaber (naked mole-rat)
Lineage: Eukaryota; Metazoa; Chordata; Mammalia; Rodentia; Bathyergidae
Description: lncRNA (ENSHGLG00100045196.1)
Source: RNAcentral